Molecule: ribosomal RNA, 256 nt
Filed under: uncultured bacterium
Lineage: Bacteria
Description: partial 16S ribosomal RNA
Rfam family: Bacterial small subunit ribosomal RNA
Source: RNAcentral
UACAGGGGGGGCAAGCGUUGUUCGGAAUUACUGGGCGUAAAGGGCUCGUAGGCGGCCAACUAAGUCACACGUGAAAUCCCCAGGCUUAACCUGGGAACUGCGUGUGAUACUGGAUGGCUUGAAUCCGGGAGAGGGAUGCGGAAUUCCAGGUGUAGCGGUGAAAUGCGUAGAUAUCUGGAGGAACACCGGUGGCGAAGGCGGCAUCCUGGACCGGUAUUGACGCUGAUGAGCGAAAGCCAGGGGGAGCAAAACGGGG